GACGAACGCUGGCGGCGUGCCUAAUACAUGCAAGUCGAACGCUUCUUCCUCCCGAGUGCUUGCACUCAUUUGGAAAGAGGAGUGGCGGACGGGUGAGUAACACGUGGGUAACCUACCCAUCAGAGGGGGAUAACACUUGGAAACAGGUGCUAAUACCGCAUAACAGUUUAUGCCGCAUGGCAUAAGAGUGAAAGGCGCUUUCGGGUGUCACUGAUGGAUGGACCCGCGGUGCAUUAGCUAGUUGGUGAGGUAACGGCUCACCAAGGCCACGAUGCAUAGCCGACCUGAGAGGGUGAUCGGCCACACUGGGACUGAGACACGGCCCAGACUCCUACGGGAGGCAGCAGUAGGGAAUCUUCGGCAAUGGACGAAAGUCUGACCGAGCAACGCCGCGUGAGUGAAGAAGGUUUUUCGGAUUCGUAAAACUUCUGU
RNAcentral lists this ribosomal RNA (432 nucleotides) under Enterococcus faecalis. RNAcentral describes it as "bacterial SSU rRNA". It matches the Rfam family "Bacterial small subunit ribosomal RNA", at positions 28 to 437 of the family's 1533-position model. The record is from RNAcentral. Lineage: Bacteria; Bacillati; Bacillota; Bacilli; Lactobacillales; Enterococcaceae.